RNAcentral lists this ribosomal RNA (824 nucleotides) under uncultured marine bacterium. RNAcentral's name for it is "bacterial SSU rRNA". It matches the Rfam family "Bacterial small subunit ribosomal RNA", at positions 65 to 887 of the family's 1533-position model. The record is from RNAcentral.
AGGGGUAACAUAGAGUGCUUGCACUCUGAUGACGACCGGCGCACGGGUGAGUAACGCGUAUACAAUCUGCCUCAUACUAGGGCAUAGCCCAGAGAAAUUUGGAUUAACACCCUAUAGUAUCUUUUAGAGUCAUCUCUUUAAGAUUAAAGGUUACGGUAUGAGAUGAGUAUGCGUUCUAUUAGUUAGUAGGUGAGGUAACGGCUCACCUAGACCACGAUAGAUAGGGGCCCUGAGAGGGGGAUCCCCCACACUGGUACUGAGACACGGACCAGACUCCUACGGGAGGCAGCAGUGAGGAAUAUUAGACAAUGGGCGAAAGCCUGAUCUAGCCAUGCCGCGUGCAGGAUGACGGCCCUAUGGGUUGUAAACUGCUUUUAUACAGGAAGAAAAAACUCUACGUGUAGAGUCUUGACGGUACUGUAAGAAUAAGGAUCGGCUAACUCCGUGCCAGCAGCCGCGGUAAUACGGAGGAUCCAAGCGUUAUCCGGAAUUAUUGGGUUUAAAGGGUCCGUAGGUGGACAAUUAAGUCAGAGGUGAAAUCCUGCAGCUCAACUGUAGAAUUGCCUUUGAAACUGGUUGUCUUGAGUCAUUAUGAAGUGGUUAGAAUGUGUAGUGUAGCGGUGAAAUGCAUAGAUAUUACACAGAAUACCAAUUGCGAAGGCAGAUCACUAAUAAUGUACUGGCACUGAGGGACGAAAGCGUGGGUAGCGAACAGGAUUAGAUACCCUGGUAGUCCACGCCGUAAACGAUGGUCACUAGCUGUUCGGACUUCGGUCUGAGUGGCUAAGCGAAAGUGAUAAGUGACCCACCUGGGGAGUACGUUC